RNAcentral lists this ribosomal RNA (468 nucleotides) under uncultured bacterium. RNAcentral's name for it is "partial 16S ribosomal RNA". It matches the Rfam family "Bacterial small subunit ribosomal RNA", at positions 28 to 507 of the family's 1533-position model. The record is from RNAcentral.
GACGAACGCUGGCGGCGUGCUUAACACAUGCAAGUCGAACGGAAAGGCCCUGCUUUUGUGGGGUGCUCGAGUGGCGAACGGGUGAGUAACACGUGAGUAACCUGCCCUUGACUUUGGGAUAACUUCAGGAAACUGGGGCUAAUACCGGAUAGGAGCUCCUGCUGCAUGGUGGGGGUUGGAAAGUUUCGGCGGUUGGGGAUGGACUCGCGGCUUAUCAGCUUGUUGGUGGGGUAGUGGCUUACCAAGGCUUUGACGGGUAGCCGGCCUGAGAGGGUGGCCGGGCACAUUGGGACUGAGAUACGGCCCAGACUCCUACGGGAGGCAGCAGUGGGGAAUAUUGCACAAUGGGCGGAAGCCUGAUGCAGCGACGCCGCGUGCGGGAUGACGGCCUUCGGGUUGUAAACCGCUUUCGCCUGUGACGAAGCGUGAGUGACGGUAAUGGGUAAAGAAGCACCGGCUAACUACGUG